AUGGGGUUGCUCCCUGGUGAGUGCCGGAGGCCCUGGGUUCCAGCGGUGUAACGAGCAUCAUCCCUCCGGCCAGACCCCUGAAGACUCAACCCUGUUGGCCCCUCCCUGUCUGGAGAUGUGCUAGGAGAAGCAGGAGGAGUGCUUGAACAGACAUGCUGGACCUGCGUUCUCCAGCCCCAGAACAUUCCAGCCUCGCUCCUUCGGCAGACACCAGAGUGACUUCACUUUCCUGCGCACUGGAUUCCCUGGCCCUUCACGUACAGGAGGUGGCGGCCCUGGGGGCUGGGGACGUGUCCUUGGAGAGCUGACCUGGCCAGUGCUUCUUACCCCAGGACUCGGCUGCCUUGACCGCCACUUGGGAACAGCCACCCACAGCUCCCAGCGUGGCCGGUCCUUCCCUGCGGGAAGCCGGAGCCCCCCAGGACUUCCCUGUGCCCCU
Urocitellus parryii (Arctic ground squirrel) is the source of this 439-nucleotide long non-coding RNA. RefSeq lists it as uncharacterized. The record is from RefSeq and is a predicted model, not a curated record. Lineage: Eukaryota; Metazoa; Chordata; Mammalia; Rodentia; Sciuridae.